CAGCAGCCCGGUAAUACCGGUGGCUCGAGUGGUGGCCGCUAUUAUUGGGUCUAAAGGGUCCGUAGCCGGCUUGAUAAGUUACCUGGAAAAUCCGGUGGCCUAACCAUUGGGCGGCCAGGUGAUACUAUCAGGCUUGGGACUAGGAGAGACCAGAGGUACUCAUGAGGUAGGGGUGAAUUCCUGUAAUCUUAUGAGGACCACCAGUGGCGAAGGCGUCUGGUUAGAAUAGGUCCGACGGUGAUGGACGAAGGCUGGGGGCGCAAACCGGAUUAGAUACCCGGGUAGUCCCAGCAGUAAACGAUGCCAGCUAUGUGUUGCUGAAACCAUGGGUUUCAGCAGUGCCGAAGGGAAGCCGUGAAGCUGGCCACCUGGGAAGUACGGCCGCAAGGCUGAAACUUAAAGGAAUUGGCGGG
Molecule: ribosomal RNA, 413 nt
Filed under: uncultured microorganism
Description: bacterial SSU rRNA
Rfam family: Archaeal small subunit ribosomal RNA
Source: RNAcentral